RNAcentral lists this ribosomal RNA (585 nucleotides) under uncultured bacterium. RNAcentral's name for it is "bacterial SSU rRNA". It matches the Rfam family "Bacterial small subunit ribosomal RNA", at positions 102 to 683 of the family's 1533-position model. The record is from RNAcentral.
ACGGGUGAGUAAUACAUCGGAACGUACCCUGUCGUGGGGGAUAACUAACCGAAAGGUUAGCUAAUACCGCAUACGACCUGAGGGUGAAAGCGGGGGAUCGCAAGACCUCGCGCGAUAGGAGCGGCCGAUGUCAGAUUAGCUAGUUGGUGAGGUAAAGGCUCACCAAGGCGACGAUCUGUAGCGGGUCUGAGAGGACGGCCCGCCACACUGGAACUGAGACACGGUCCAGACUCCUGCGGGAGGCAGCAGUGGGGAAUUUUGGACAAUGGGGGCAACCCUGAUCCAGCCAUUCCGCGUGAGUGAAGAAGGCCUUCGGGUUGUAAAGCUCUUUCGGCAGGAACGAAACGGCGCGCUCUAACAUAGUGCGUCAAUGACGGUACCUGAAGAAGAAGCACCGGCUAACUACGUGCCAGCAGCCGCGGUAAUACGUAGGGUGCGAGCGUUAAUCGGAAUUACUGGGCGUAAAGCGUGCGCAGGCGGUUUUGUAAGACAGAUGUGAAAUCCCCGGGCUUAACCCGGGAACUGCGUUUGUGACUGCAAGACUUGAGUGUGGCAGAGGGGGGUGGAAUUCCACGUGUAGCAGUG